This is a non-coding RNA of Myotis davidii, 74 nucleotides long. Lineage: Eukaryota; Metazoa; Chordata; Mammalia; Chiroptera; Vespertilionidae. The record is from Rfam.
CUUGGAGGGGGCAGGUUCCUCAGCCCGGAUUGUGAGAGGGUACAGGCCAGGCUGAGGGACCCCACCAGUGCACA